AUCUUUUUGAUGAUGAUGUCGAACAGAUUGUGGACAAGCAGGUACACCACAUCUAGAUGAAUGUUGUUGCGCAAGAAGCACUAAAACUAUCUAUAUGUUUAUGCUAACUUAAAUUCCAACAAACAUUCAGGGAGGCACACUUGAACGAAAAUGGGAGGAUAGAUCCUGAUGAAUGGAAAGUGUUCAGAAGUAAAAAAAAUCUCGCUGAAGCACCUGCGCUAGUUAUGACUCUCUCAUACCCAGAAUAAGUACAUCUAUAUUUUCAGCUUUCAUAAACAAUGCUUGAGAACAUGACUCUUAGUCUUAACUGACAUCUCACUAUGUUGUGAUGCAGGGUCAUAACUAUGUCAUUCACUCUCAACCUGCGCUACAAAAUUAUUGGUAUAUGCGAUUUACGGUAAGAAUUAUUCACUGAUAUUCAGAGAGCAAAAAAUUCAGAAAUAUGAAUUAGCUAAGCACCUAAAAUUUGAUUCAACAUGCACCUCUUGGCCCUUGAAUUUAGGUUUAUUUUUGUUUGCUCCUCAGGUCCAUGCAUGACAAUCAAUUUGUCCUAAUCAACCUCUGUUUUUUGAAUAAUAAAUAAACCUAACGUUCUUAUUCUUAAAUAGAUAGAAGUGCUUCUGCUUAGAAGAAGAAAAACGCCACUUUGUGCAACAUGGAUACAUUAUUCGUGUUUAUUUCUCUGCACAUAGGCUUCCAAAUUACUUAUAUGCGGGAUACACAUGGGCUUCUGUAAACAGCUACAUGAAGUUCAGGCUUAUGUAAACAGCUACAUCAAGUUCAGUUUACUUUCAUCAAUUCUCCAUUUCCUAGGUUGUGUUUAUUUUUGUACAUACUUAUUGGGGGAUUUUUUCAAAAGCUAAUAUAUAUGCAUGCCUGUUGGCAACCUAUCAAAGAUCACUGCCGUGUUGAAUAUGAAGAGGUCAUAUCUGAAUGUCAUAGGUUUUUCUCAAAAGCUAAUAUACAUGCAUGCAUGUUGGCAUCCUAUGACAUUUUUAUAUGGCCUAUGCUAAAACCCUACGACACUCCUGCCUUUUCUCUCCCUCGUAGCUACUCGCAUUAGUACAUAAGGUCCCAUAUCUAAUUUUAUUUUUGACAAAGUUAUCAUAUGCAUGUUCUGUUAGUCUCAAUACUUAUUUAGAGAGCACAAGCACCCAUAUCUGAAUUAAAUUUUUGCACCGAGUUAUCAUAUACAAAUUCUGUUAGGCUGCAUACUUAUUUAGAGAGCAUGUUAAUAUGAUUCUGAUUGCUUCUAUCUAUUACAUGUUACAUUUACAUUCGACAACUGUGAUACCAUAUAUGUCUUGGAUGACAAGCUUAUUUUCAGAUUUGGUCAGAGCCCAUCUGUUGCAAGUGUCGGAUGAUUUUCUGCUGAUGGCAAGGUUCUAGGACGAUUCGGUGGUUCUUACUGCAUAGUACUGUUGCUGCUCCCAUUAAUAUACAAGUAUUUGACGAGAAAAUUUCCUGCGGGGGGGCUCAAACGGGGCUGCUGGCACCCUAUACAUGCAUACAACAGUCACGCCCUGCCCUCCCUAUUUGAUCAUUUGGUUGGGUAAAUUUUGUUUCAUCCUUUGUUUAGCUUUUAAGUUCAAGCGACCUAAUUUACCAUUUUUAUAGUAUCAACAUGGAUGAGUUGAUUGGCUUAGUUUACUUUGUUUCUCCUACGGAUAGGACAACAUCUAUGAUUUUAAGCAUGCUACCAGUUGCCUG
RNAcentral lists this long non-coding RNA (1710 nucleotides) under Triticum aestivum (bread wheat). RNAcentral's name for it is "long non-coding RNA (TAES_LNC013352)". Lineage: Eukaryota; Viridiplantae; Streptophyta; Magnoliopsida; Poales; Poaceae. The record is from RNAcentral.